This is a long non-coding RNA of Triplophysa dalaica, 3655 nucleotides long. RefSeq lists it as uncharacterized. The transcript is spliced from 3 exons. The record is from RefSeq and is a predicted model, not a curated record. Lineage: Eukaryota; Metazoa; Chordata; Actinopteri; Cypriniformes; Nemacheilidae.
AAAAGUGGUCGAUUGCCCUCCAGGGAUUGCAUUUCUCAAACAACUCCCUCAUAAAAACUGUGUAAACCCUUGGUCUUUGACUCCCUGACCAAUUGCUGACCUGUGAAACAACUCUUGAAAUCUGGAGCUCUGCCUCUUGGACACAUACUUUUGCUGUACACACCCAGCCUGUGAUGCUAUCAGCCACGUGGGGACCGGGCCAGGGGUGGAGAGGCUACAUUUACCAACACUGUUCCCACAGAGGCCGCGGGCCGCCAUCAGGCUCCGCUGGGACCUGUGAGUGCGAAUAUCCACGUCUACUUUUCUUGCUGACCCUCAGCUGAUUGGUACCGUAUGUUAAGAGCAAUAUGCCAAAGCAUGGUUUCAACAUUGCGAUAGCUGCCGUUCGCCACCUGGAGAACACGUCACUUGGCAAACAGGCAGCAGAGAACCGUAUUCACAAAUAGAUAAACGAAAGUUAACAUCGGGGUCAGUAUUGCAUAAAAUUCCAGCCAGCAUGAUUUUAGAUUUCCGUUUUCACUUUGGUAUUUGAAGGUGACGUAGUAUCUGUCCAUUGACUUAUGGCAGGUAAUUUGGGCAUUGGUGACAUGUUCUUCAGACUUAUCAGUAGCCAAUGUUUGUUUUGCGAGUUGAAAAGACCGAUGCCCUUCGUGAUCUUUGAUUGGAGCGUUCUUCACACUUCACAGCACAUUUAAGGCCGGGGUAAGCUGAGCUGGUCUUCGUUCAAUAGGGCUCUGUGUAAGAACACUUGCUGCCUUUUUCAGGGUAGUCACUCUAUACCAGCGCAGUGGGAAUCCCACUGUUAACCGGCCUGUGUUUAUCCUGUUCAUUACCACUUUGCACUUAACCCACAUAACCGCCUGACGUCCCGUACAUGCCCUGACACACAGAAUUAUUUACUACAUAAUUGCAUAGGGAUGACUUUUUGUUCUGUAAUAGAAUAGUGACUAAAGAUGAUUUACAUAGUAGCUCUAAAAGGAAUUUGGACAAUCUAAGCCACUCAUAAGCCAGAUGUCAUAAGAAAUCAACAUGUACUGGAAAACUUUAAAGAACGACAACACAAGUUUAUUUCUCAAGUAAAACAUUUCCCAAGAUGAAGUUUUUUUAAUUACCUGGAUAUUUCAUGAUAUUGUGUCUAUAGUUGAAGUGAUGGACAAUUCCAGUUUCAUGGCAGUUAAUGACAGUCACAAAAUGUAUAAUCUAUUUAUUCGUGUUCAUGACACGAAUUAACCCCUUUAAUAUACUAUACAUAUGUGACCCCGGACAACAAAACCAGUCUUAAGUAACAAAAAAACAUUGUAUGGGUCAAAAUUAUAGAUUUUUCUGUCCCAAAUCAUUAGGUAUAUAUUAAGUAAUCAUGUUUCUUGUUCCAUGAAGAUAGUUUGUAAAUUUCCUACCUUAAGUAUAUAAAAACUUUACUUUUGGGAGUGGAUGGCCUGCCACAGUGCCUCUGAUUAACAAUUUCAAAAGCAAUUUUCUCAAUAUUUAGAUUUUUUUGCAGCCUCAGAUUCGUGAGUUUUAAACGGAUGUAUCCAAGCCAGAUAUUGUCCUAUUCGAACAACUGAUACAUCAUUAGAAAGCUUAUUUAUUCAGCUUUCAGAUUAUGUAACAAUCUAAAUUUCGAAAAGUUGACCCAUAAGACUGGUUUUAUUGUCCAGGGUCACAUAUAGCUUUUUUAUAGAUAAUACAUAUAUUCUUAACUCACUGCAAUUCCUGCGUAUUUGACAAGGUGGCUAGGAAACGAUAAAGGCCCACCCCUUACCCUAACGUUAUGUGGGCAAAAUUAUACUAAAACGUAGGAAUGAGAUUGGAUGAAUUCAUAGGAAUUAGCCACCUCAUAAAAUACGUACGAAUUCCUGUAAAAGUUAAUAUCUACAUAUGAAAGAAUAAAAUACAUUGGAUAAGAAGUCUUUUCUGAGUGACAUGAAAAAGUCUUACUGAGUGACACAAAGAAAUCGUAUUUAGUGACAUGAAGAAAAUGGGAAAUUUCUGUCCAUGAACACGAAACAAUAGCAUAUAAAUUUAUCACAAAUUCCUGUGGGACUAGUUAGCAAUGCAAUCUAUUUUAAAAAGUGGCUACGUAAGAAUUCGUUAAAUCUAACAUCAAGUUCCCAAAAAAGUCACCGGUGCAAAAGCAGUUUGUAUUACCACGUGAAAACUAAUUUAUAGGUAUAUGAAUUAGUCUUCCUGUAAAAUUGUUUCAAAUUAGCAUGAGAAUGUUUCAAACAUUUAAGUUAAGUCAACAUCUUACAGACAUCUUUUAGAUGUAUAUUUGAAUAUGUCUUGCAGAUGCAAAUCCAGACAUCAAAUAGACAACUCCCAAAUGUUUGUGUGUUAUCAGGGGUAUAUAUGCAAAUGUAUAUCCAAACUUUUAUGCCUAGAGUAUAUCUUUCAGAAACAGACAUUUUUUUUUAAAACAAUCAGUCUCAUUUAUAACAUCAUACAAGUUGCUAAACAGAAUGAGCUGUAUUUCCUGUUCUGUAUCUCCCUUUGCCAGAGGAGUACCUCAUUGCCUUCCAGAGGUUUGGCCAUGUGACCCCCUCCCCAUAGAAGUGGACAUCCUAUUCCAGCUGUCUGACCUGUCUGAUCCAAGAAGCAUGCCUGCAGCAUCCCUGGUGACCCCUGCUGAUGUUAUCAUGACCCGGUUACAAGUGGCUGCCCCGUGCAGGCCAGACCACGAACACAAUGGACUCAUUGACAGUUUCUGGAAGAAUCUUCUGGAAAAGGGACCUCGUGCCUUCAAAGAACUGGAGCUUUAUAUACCAUGUUUUGCGGCAUCAAACUGAUGCUGAAAAUACCCAAAUGCUGUCAUUUCAUUCCAUGAUUCAGGCUAAAAUGGCAAGAGGACACCCCAAAAUAGGGUCUGUGUCCUCAAUGGAAAGGUUUAAAAAAGGAGGCCGUUCUGGUCUAUUCAUUUAUUUUAUGUUCCACAAUUUGAAGAGGAAAAUAUUCGUUUUUACUUUGCAGUCAAGCUGUUUAUUCUAUCUGACAGGACGCAGCAGAACGUGAAGGUUCUCCUCUUCCACCUUACUCAUACAUCUCCGUCUCUCCUUACCACAGAAAACCAGCUGGCUCUGAGCCCACUCCCAAGUCUCGGAUCAGCCUCCCGGCGCCCAAUCCUGACCACAUUGGUGGCUUCAGGUUGGCUGUGGCAACAUUUGCUGGCAUCGAGAAUAAAUUUGGACUGCAUCUACCACGAUUCCAAAUGACUGCCAUCCCCACGUCACACCACGCUUUAUGCUUCGUCGUGGGACUGUCCAUACCAUGUGCUACUAGAAUCAAUAUUUAUGACUGAGAAUAUAAUACAAAACCGUCAGCAGCUGAUCUGGAAAUGAUGUUGUGUGUUUAUUAGUGCAAACUACAGCUCAUACAAAAUGUUUGGCUACUUUCUAACAGAACGUUUAAAAGUGUUGAGAAGCAUUGUGGUGUGAUUUAUUUAAAUGUAAAUCAAAUAUUUAUUUGUUUCUUGUGUUUAUUUGUUCGCUUUAAGUUUCAUUUACCUUAAACAACCUAAUUGUUUACAUGUUUUUACAUACAGUACAACACUGCAUGAGCACAUUCUGUACUGCUUGCAAGGGCCCUUUAUGUCUCUUUCAUUACAGAUGUAGAAAAUAACAUUUGAAUGUAAUACCGUUUUUCAUUGUCUUGUUUCAUU